This 900-nucleotide ribosomal RNA is filed under the name uncultured bacterium. RNAcentral describes it as "bacterial SSU rRNA". It matches the Rfam family "Bacterial small subunit ribosomal RNA", at positions 24 to 914 of the family's 1533-position model. The record is from RNAcentral.
UCAGGAUGAACGCUAGCUACAGGCUUAACACAUGCAAGUCGAGGGGAAACGAUAGAGAAAGCUUGCUUUUUCUAGGCGUCGACCGGCGCACGGGUGAGUAACGCGUAUCCAACCUGCCCACCACUUGGGAAUAACCUUGCGAAAGUAAGACUAAUACCCAAUGAUAUCUCUAGAAGACAUCUGAAAGAGAUUAAAGAUUUAUCGGUGAUGGAUGGGGAUGCGUCUGAUUAGCUUGUUGGCGGGGUAACGGCCCACCAAGGCGACGAUCAGUAGGGGUUCUGAGAGGAAGGUCCCCCACAUUGGAACUGAGACACGGUCCAAACUCCUACGGGAGGCAGCAGUGAGGAAUAUUGGUCAAUGGGCGAGAGCCUGAACCAGCCAAGUAGCGUGCAGGAUGACGGCCCUAUGGGUUGUAAACUGCUUUUAUAAGGGAAUAAAGUGAGCCUCGUGAGGCUUUUUGCAUGUACCUUAUGAAUAAGGACCGGCUAAUUCCGUGCCAGCAGCCGCGGUAAUACGGAAGGUCCGGGCGUUAUCCGGAUUUAUUGGGUUUAAAGGGAGCGUAGGCCGGAGAUUAAGCGUGUUGUGAAAUGUAGAUGCUCAACAUCUGCACUGCAGCGCGAACUGGUUUCCUUGAGUACGCACAAAGUGGGCGGAAUUCGUGGUGUAGCGGUGAAAUGCUUAGAUAUCACGAAGAACUCCGAUUGCGAAGGCAGCUCACUGGAGCGCAACUGACGCUGAAGCUCGAAAGUGCGGGUAUCGAACAGGAUUAGAUACCCUGGUAGUCCGCACGGUAAACGAUGGAUGCCCGCUGUUGGUCUGAAUAGGUCAGCGGCCAAGCGAAAGCAUUAAGCAUCCCACCUGGGGAGUACGCCGGCAACGGUGAAACUCAAAGGAAUUGAC